Molecule: ribosomal RNA, 274 nt
Filed under: uncultured bacterium
Lineage: Bacteria
Description: partial 16S ribosomal RNA
Rfam family: Bacterial small subunit ribosomal RNA
Source: RNAcentral
AUACGGAGGGUGCAAGCGUUACUCGGAAUCACUGGGCGUAAAGCGCGCGCAGGCGGGCUGAUAAGUUGGAUGUGAAAGCCUACGGCUCAACCGUAGAACUGCAUCCAAAACUGUCAGCCUAGAGUCUGGGAGGGGAAGAUGGAAUUAGUUGUGUAGGGGUAAAAUCCGUAGAGAUAACUAGGAAUACCAAAAGCGAAGGCGAACUUCUGGAACAGUACUGACGCUGAGGCGCGAAAGCGUGGGGAGCAAACAGGAUUAGAUACCCUAGUAGUCC